UAAAGUGCGAAAAGUGAUGCGAUUUGCACGAACCUGUGAGUCAUCAAGUCUUUGAACGCAAAUGGCGCUCCUCUGCGAGGGGGAGCAUGUCUAUUAGAGGAUUCGUAUAACGUUUAGACUCGGAUGUAGUCUAGUCUUUGGGGGGUCUAGCCUGCUAGCCACCAUGAAUUGAGAAUUGUAGCGUUAUGCUGACAAGCUAAGAGAUAUUACCAAUAUCAAUUGUACUGUCAAUAAUGCGCGACGUCAUCUGAUAGGGUUGAUAGCGUUAAUAAUAUAACGCUAUUUAACGACUAUUAGCAAUCGACAAUCUAUCUACUGGGAUCUCUAAUUAGACAAGAUUACCCGCUGAACUUAA
RNAcentral lists this unclassified non-coding RNA (355 nucleotides) under uncultured fungus. Its description in RNAcentral is "sequence contains ITS1". The stretch from base 1 to 104 matches the Rfam family "5.8S ribosomal RNA", at positions 49 to 154 of the family's 154-position model. The record is from RNAcentral. Lineage: Eukaryota; Fungi.